GCUCCUGCUGCCAUGCUGUGAGGAAGUCCAGGCUAACCUGGAGAAGAGAAAGACCUCAUGCAGAAGAGAAAGACCUCAUGAAGAGUUUGGAGAAGAUGACAAUGGCACAUGGGAAUAAAGGCUACACAGAGGAGAACUGAGGAAAUGGGUAAAAUGCAUCCCACGAGCCAAGGACAGCUAUCCUAUGGCGAGGAGACCAUAAGAUUUGGACCAUGGACCGACCUGGUUUCCAACUCUCGCUUCCUUUUUGAAAGCUGCUGUGGGCAAGCUGCUCUCUCUGGAUUCAACCUCUGCGAAGUCAUCUGUAAAACAACCUCCCCAGCCUGCAAGUCACGGUAGCAGGAAUGCUGAGCUGGACUGAAACUGUAAGGAAAGCCCUAUGUGGGUACAGAACUGUACAGCUUGCAAAGAAAUAUACUGGCUCCGAAGUACUUAUAAAGCCCUUUCCAUUCACAAGCUCCCACUGCCCCUUGCAGCUGCAGUCAGACGCAUCUAUAACGGUGAGAAGCAGAGAAGAAAGGAAGGCAAGAGCACAGGAAAGAAGGGGAGAAGAGAGUGAGAAAGAUGAACCUAAUAUUACAUAUCAGAAUACUCAAGAUUUACUAAAAAAUGUUAUACAAUAA
RNAcentral lists this long non-coding RNA (623 nucleotides) under Mustela putorius furo (domestic ferret). RNAcentral describes it as "lncRNA (ENSMPUG00000024216.1)". Lineage: Eukaryota; Metazoa; Chordata; Mammalia; Carnivora; Mustelidae. The record is from RNAcentral.